Molecule: transfer RNA, 74 nt
Filed under: Armatimonadota bacterium
Lineage: Bacteria; Bacillati; Armatimonadota
Description: Armatimonadetes bacterium tRNA-Arg
Rfam family: tRNA
About the family: Transfer RNA (tRNA) molecules are approximately 80 nucleotides in length. Their secondary structure includes four short double-helical elements and three loops (D, anti-codon, and T loops).
Source: RNAcentral
CCCGCCUUAGCUCAGUUGGAUAGAGCGGGCCCGUCCUAAGGGCAAGGUCGGGGGUUCGAGUCCCUCAGGCGGGA